AUCUCUGGCUCCUCUGCAUUUAACCGAGAAAAUCUUUCGCCUUUUACUAAAGAUUUCCGUGCAAAGGUGCAUUUUAUGAGUAUGUGACAAUUUUUGGAAACCCCCUCGAGAGAGAGUG
Necator americanus (New World hookworm) is the source of this 118-nucleotide non-coding RNA. The record is from Rfam. Lineage: Eukaryota; Metazoa; Nematoda; Chromadorea; Rhabditida; Ancylostomatidae.